Molecule: small nucleolar RNA, 139 nt
Organism: Tachyglossus aculeatus (Australian echidna)
Lineage: Eukaryota; Metazoa; Chordata; Mammalia; Monotremata; Tachyglossidae
Source: RefSeq, a predicted model, not a curated record
CCCCUCUCAGGAUUGCUCCUGGAGGGUUUCCAGUACUCUACCAAUCUCGGCUAUGGGAGGAAAGAGGCAAGCGGAGGCCUACCCAUUCCAUUCCUAGCUUGGGCAGUGGCUAGCGAGUGGAAGGCAAUCUGCUACAAGC